AUUCAUGGACUAAAUAUAAGGGCUGGCAUAAGGUUCUGUAAAAAUGGAAUAUGAUGGGGGAUGCGAGAUAGGAGAUUAUCCAUCACCUUUCAUGGCAGAGCCAGAGGAAAAGCUGUGGGCCACAACUGGAAGUAAAGAACAAUAUAGAAGGAAGCAGUGACAACUGUAUUUGGAUAGCUGUUAGAUUUCCUCGGUGAAUCCUGUGAUAGGACAUAGCUAAGACAGUUCUAGGAUGUAAGAAAGGUGAUGGCUCUCUAUUCCAUUUGUUAUUUGCCUCCAAUAACCUUUCUGUCAUAUUUUCUGAAACUCCUUGCCAACCUGCAAGGACACAUUAAGGUAAAUUAAAUGAUAUUACUCUAACUGAUUAUUUUAAAAUUAGUUCUUAAAUGUAUACACAAAUUGAUAUAUGAUACUAUUGCUUAAAAGUCUGUUAAAAAGUAAUUAGCACUUCCACCAUUAAACUUCACAUUUUGAAUCCUGUUAUUUCUUUAGUCAUGUUUUGAUUCUUCUGGAAUGUCUUGUUUGAAAUAUAUAUUUG
This 538-nucleotide long non-coding RNA is filed under the name Numida meleagris (helmeted guineafowl). Its description in RNAcentral is "lncRNA (ENSNMEG00000010679.1)". The record is from RNAcentral. Lineage: Eukaryota; Metazoa; Chordata; Aves; Galliformes; Numididae.